RNAcentral lists this ribosomal RNA (463 nucleotides) under uncultured bacterium. RNAcentral's name for it is "bacterial SSU rRNA". It matches the Rfam family "Bacterial small subunit ribosomal RNA", at positions 330 to 792 of the family's 1533-position model. The record is from RNAcentral.
ACCAGACUCCUACGGGAGGCAGCAGUGGGGAAUAUUGCACAAUGGGGGAAACCCUGAUGCAGCGACGCCGCGUGAGUGAAGAAGUAUUUCGGUAUGUAAAGCUCUAUCAGCAGGGAAGAAAUAGCGACCUUUGGGUCGCCAGACGGUACCUGCCUAAGAAGCCCCGGCUAACUACGUGCCAGCAGCCGCGGUAUUACGUAGGGGGCAAGCGUUAUCCGGAUUUACUGGGUGUAAAGGGAGCGUAGACGGCAGCGCAAGUCUGAAGAGAAAUGCCGGGGCUUAACCCCGGAACUGCUUUGAAAACUGUGCAGCUAGAGGGCAGGAGAGGUAAGUGGAAUUCCGAGUGUAGCGGUGAAAUGCGUAGAUAUUAGGAGGAACACCAGUGGCGAAGGCGGCUUACUGGACUGUAACUGACGUUGAGGCUCGAAAGCGUGGGGAGCAAACAGGAUGAGAUACCCCAGUA